RNAcentral lists this ribosomal RNA (497 nucleotides) under uncultured bacterium. RNAcentral describes it as "partial 16S ribosomal RNA". It matches the Rfam family "Bacterial small subunit ribosomal RNA", at positions 28 to 507 of the family's 1533-position model. The record is from RNAcentral.
GAUGAACGCUGGCGGCGUGCCUAAUACAUGCAAGUCGAGCGAACAGAUAAGGAGCUUGCUCCUUUGACGUUAGCGGCGGACGGGUGAGAAGCACGUGGGUAACCUACCUAUAAGACUGGAAUAACUCCGGGAAACCGGGGCUAAUGCCGGAUAACAUUUAGAACCGCAUGGUUCUAAAGUGAAAGAUGGUUUUGCUAUCACUUAUAGAUGGACCCGCGCCGUAUUAGCUAGUUGGUAAGGUAACGGCUUACCAAGGCAACGAUACGUAGCCGACCUGAGAGGGUGAUCGGCCACACUGGAACUGAGACACGGUCCAGACUCCUACGGGAGGCAGCAGUAGGGAAUCUUCCGCAAUGGGCGAAAGCCUGACGGAGCAACGCCGCGUGAGUGAUGAAGGUCUUCGGAUCGUAAAACUCUGUUAUUAGGGAAGAACAAAUGUGUAAGUAACUGUGCACGUCUUGACGGUACCUAAUCAGAAAGCCACGGCUAACUACGUG